CUACGGAGGGUGCAAGCGUUGUUCGGAAUUACUGGGCGUAAAGCGCGCGUAGGCGGUCUGUUAUGUCAGAUGUGAAAGUCCUCGGCUCAACCGGGGAAGUGCAUUUGAAACUGGCUGACUUGAGUACUGGAGGGGGUGGUGGAAUUCCCGGUGUAGAGGUGAAAUUCGUAGAUAUCGGGAGGAAUACCGGUGGCGAAGGCGACCACCUGGCCAGAUACUGACGCUGAGGUGCGAAAGCGUGGGGAGCAAACAGGAUUAGAAACCCGGGUAGUCC
Molecule: ribosomal RNA, 274 nt
Filed under: uncultured bacterium
Lineage: Bacteria
Description: partial 16S ribosomal RNA
Rfam family: Bacterial small subunit ribosomal RNA
Source: RNAcentral